Molecule: long non-coding RNA, 2836 nt
Organism: Pogoniulus pusillus (Red-fronted tinkerbird)
Lineage: Eukaryota; Metazoa; Chordata; Aves; Piciformes; Lybiidae
Exons: 7
Source: RefSeq, a predicted model, not a curated record
UCCCCCGUCCCCGCCAACCUCCUUCCUAAUCGUCCUCUUACCCUGUCCCCCCAUCCUACUCCUCCAUUCUUCUCAACCCCUUCCUCGUCUCCCCCAUCCUCUUUCCCACUGUCCCAAUUCCCUCCCUCUCCCUUCUCCUCAACCUCUUCCCUGUCUCCCUCCGCCUCCUUCCCUGGCCACCCCAUCCUCUUACCCCAUCACUCCCAUCCUCCUUCUCCAUUCUCCUUUUCAGUCCCCCACUUCCUCUUUCUCCAUUCCCUUCUACCCUUCUUCCCCGUAUCCUUCAUCCUCCUUCUCCUAGCCCUCCCCAUCCUACUUUUCUCGUCACCCUCCCGCCCCUUUUACCGUCCCCCUCCGCGGUUAACGGCCGCCCCAGGCUCGCUUCUGCUCCACGUACUCACCGGAGGUGAGCGGCGGAUCCCGCUGAUCGGGACCCGAGACCAAGAGCUGAUCGGGGCGCUGAGAGGUGGGGGGUCGGAGGGUUCCACUAGAGACCUCUCAGCUUAACUCCCCACUCUCACUGUUCAUCUGCUCACUUGUUUCUCCGUGCCGGGGACAGGGAUCUGCUCCGCAGCCAUGCCACUGAACUCAGAUGGGGGAGCUGACCUUAUGAAAUAGCUACAUCAGGAGUGUACAGCACAUUAUUCUCACAGCAGUGCUGCAUACAGACAGCAAGCAUAACUUGCACUGCAGCCUGAAGCAACCUGAAAUAGACUGAGAGUAAUGUGUGGCUAUCUUCCUAAGGAGAAGAGCUAAGAUGUCUGUUUGGAGAUAUUCCUGGAAUUAGACCAGCGUGAGGUCUCCUCUACCAAUAUGAGAUACCAAUUAAAUACUUAGAGGUGUGAAGGAGGUCCUUAUCAGUGCUGCAGUAGACUCUGCUGAGAACAAGCAUACUGCACCUGGACACCGAUCUAAAAAAAAACAUGAGCAAUGCCUGCCAAGAGGAACACCUCCACCAGUACACCUCCACCAGAAGAAUUCGAGGAACAACUGCAGAACAACUCCAGAAGUCUUCUUCUGGAGGAAAUCCUGAUAAGCUCCACUGAAGAACAUCCCUGGGGCACGCACAAUUCUCUCUCUCCCCCCUCAUCUUUGGCUGAUGGCACUUCACACCGUCUGCAGCAGUGCAGCCUUUCCAUACUCUUGUGCUACAGGAAACCAGGGAAACAUGCUUUGAAGUGGGAAAAUCUGUGAAGAAGAAACACAUACUGCCAUCCAAAAACAGCCAGCCAAUACCAAGACACCUACAUCACCUACAUGUUGUCUACUCUUCAUUGGAGUUGUGUAAGCUACUGAAAAUAUGAUGUACCAUAGCUGCAUUCCAUAAGAGCACUUAAGAGUGAUUACUGAAUACCAAGAAACACACCUACAGUUCUGAAUGUUUUGGAAAUAAAAAUAGUUAACCACAAAAAGGAAAUGUGAUGUCUAUCUGCAUCAAAUAAUAGUCUGAAGGCAAUAAUUGAUAAACUUUAUAGUGUGUGAGGUGUGUAUUUUACACUGAUGUUGGGGAAGUGAUAGUUGUGCUUUUGGACAGCAAGUAGCAUUAAAAAAAAAAAAAAAGUAAAAUCACAGUAUCACAGUAUUAUCAGGACUGGAAGAGACCUCACAGAUCGUCAAGUCCAACCCUUUACCACAGAGCUCAAGGCUAGACCAUGGCACCAAGUGCCACGUCCAGUCUUGCCUUGAACAGCCCCAGGGACGGCGACUCCACCACCUCCCCAGGUAGCCCAUUCCAGUGUCCAAUGACUCUCUCAGUGAAGAACUUUCUCCUCACCUCGAGCCUAAAUCUCCCCUGGUACAGCCUGAGGCUGUGUCCUCUCGUCCUGGAGCUGGCCACCUGAGAGAAGAGAGCAACCUCCUCCUGGCCACAACCACCCUUCAGGUAGUUGUAGACAGCAAUAAGGUCAUCCCUGAGCCUCCUCUUCUCCAGGCUAAACAAUCCCAGCUCCCUCAGCCUCUCCUUGUAGGGCCUGUGCUCAAGGCCUCUCACCAGCCUCGUUGCCCUUCUCUGGACACGCUCAAGCAUCUCAAUGUCCCUCCUAAACUGGGGGGCCCAGAACUGAACACAGUACUCAAGGGACAUCACUAAGAUGUAAAAUAAUUAAAAAUCUGAGCCUCAGUUUAUUUCAAAAUUUCAUUUGAGAAUUCAUCAAUCAUCCCCAGCUUCUGAACAAAUUCAGAGAAGCACCUUCAGCGCAUUUACUGUUUCUAGUGCAUGCCUAAUUGCAAAAUGUCCUCAUGCUGAAGUACAGUUCUUGAGUUCUGAAGUCAGAGCUGUGCAGGGGGAAAAUGGAGAGAGUGCCCAGAGAUUGAUAAUUUACAUUCAUCUUCAGGGACAUGUGUUGACUUGUGCAUUAACCCAUGGUCUGAGCACUUGGGUGGGUUCUUCAAGUAGAAGCAAGUCUACAGAGAUGAUACAGAGUUAAACUACAUGGAAAAUGGAAAAAUCUCAAAACAUCCUUGAGACGCAUGAACAGCCACUGCACUAAAAUAUUUAUUUAUCUGCUUGCUUCCUGACUUUGUUUUAGCUAGAACUUAAUGAUAACUUAUACUGGGACCAAUUGAUUGUUUACCUGUUGCAUUAUAUGGUGAAAAUUCAGCUCUGCUGCUUAAUUUCUGGUCACUUGUUGGCUUCCAGCACCAUGGGCCCUAAUAGUCAUUAUUUUAUUGUAAACAUAUACAGACUUCAGAAACAGUCUGGUUUACAGAUAAUCAUCAUUUUGAAAUGGAAAUCAACAGUGAAAAGUGAUGAUCAGUACCUAAAGCAUGACUGUCCUCUGUUACAAUAUGUAUGAAUUUUACCUUAAAAUUAAAUGCCAGCUUGUUCCUACUAAAA